Long non-coding RNA from Centruroides sculpturatus (bark scorpion), 1088 nucleotides. RefSeq lists it as uncharacterized. The record is from RefSeq and is a predicted model, not a curated record. NCBI's taxonomy places the organism in Eukaryota, Metazoa, Arthropoda, Arachnida, Scorpiones, Buthidae. The transcript is spliced from 4 exons.
GUUUAAUUUCUGAUUAUUUAAAAAUUCAAUAGAAUUGUUACUAAUCGUACAAACACUACAUAAAUUUUCAAAACUAGCAAAACAAAUUUUUUCAAUACGAGAAAUUCCUACUUCAGCAGCGGCUUUACCAUAACCUUUUCGUCAAAAAUCACGAGAUUGUCUUCUAAAAUGUUGGUUCAUGAAUUAUGGAGUGGCAGAUAAGAUAGGGUCGGAAUAAGACUUGAAUUCAUAAUUGAAAAAUACAAAGAAUCAAUUGAAUAAACUGAAGCACUCAUUUCUUCUAAAAGUUUGAAACGAUAAAAAAUUUUCAAGUAUCGUUCUUCAUUACAAGCAUAUAUUGGUUUAUGGAUGGACGAAUAUUAUAAAAGCAGACGACGAUCAUCGGUAAUGGAAACCAUUCGCCAUAACGCAAAUAGAUUUUAGAAGAAACAAAAACAAUAAACAAAACAUAGAUUAAUAUUCAGAUAACUCAAAGUAAAAGCAAUUUAGAAAUUCCAGUGCCACUAUUACAGGAAGAGGUAAACUGGAUGUGAUGUAUAUGAAUACAUGUCAGGCAAGUGUGCUAAGGCAUCAUCCAACAUGAUAGCACUUCAUUGUCAUUCCAAUUGUUGCCUUGGAAAAAUGGAUACUCCAAUUGUUGAGUUUAUGUUGGAGGACACAGUAUAAUCCUCAUUUUGUAAGAGGAGAGCAUAAAACAUGCAGAAAUGCAUUAAAGAAUGUUGGCACAGUAUGGAAGCAGAUGCAUGUUUUAGAGAAAAGUUUAUUGUUUCACGACAAUGUGCUUCUUCAUAUACUGUACAUAUUAUUGAAAAGGUCAAGUUUGACAUUCUUCCCCAUUCAUUAUAGAGCCAAGACCUUGCUUUCACCAGCUACUACUUGUUUGGACUUCUAAACAGAGCACUUCAUAAUCGCAGAUUUGAUAGUGAUGAACAAGUAAAAGACAUGAUACAUAAAUGGCUACAUGCCCAGCCAAACAAUUUUCCUCUGCUGGAAUCCAUAAGCUUCUGGAUCACUAUAAUAAGUGUGUAAUAGUAAUGGGGAAUUAUGUCAAAAAAUAAAUUGUUUAGUUUGCAUCAACUUGUAUAUUA